ACAGCAGUGCUGUGCUCCAUGCAGGUCUGUGCAGGGGGUGUGAGUGACCAUGUCCGGUGCAACAGAAGGUGCAGUGACACCUGAGAGAAAAAUAAAAGGAGUGUUUUAGGAGCCAGGAGGGAGAGCAGAUGGUGCUGGGAAUGACACGGGUGCCCUGAGUCACAAAGCUCUGUGCUCUGAUGUGGGAUGAAUUGCUACCAGCUGGGGGAAGCUGGAGGUGGGCUUUAGCACUUGUUCCUGAGCACUGGAGGGGUGUGAGAUGUGUCCCAGUGAGGUGCUGGGGAGGGCUCAGCUCCUUCUGUUGGCUCCUUGGGAUUGCUGGCAUGAGAGCGGGUGUGUGUUUGGCUGUGGGCAGCAUCGAGUGGAAGGAUGUUGUUCCGUGCUGAAGAGCGGGUGCAGCUCAGCUCAGCAGACCUCAGCUGCCGAUCUGCACGCAGCAUCAAAGCCGUGCAGGGUGCAAGCCAGUCCUGGUGCCUCCAACCAAGUGGGACCUCACAUUGCAGACUUCUCCCAGGGAGGUAACGCUGCUGAUGUUUGCUCUGCAGACAAGAUGUGAAGAUGGGCUUCUCUGCUAGGACAGCACCCGUCCUUAUCCUUGUGCAAAGGCUUCCACAGUCUGACCUCUUCCACAAGACAGUGAGUGCCCAGCUUAACUCAGUGGGAGGAAGUGAUUCUAAUUUAAUCAUCAGUUGGAUUUUAAAUGAACUUUACAAGUAGAUUGCAUGAGUUAAGGAUAUCAUCAUCAGUUCAAUAGCAGAGCUAGGGACCCUCAUGUACUUUCAGGUGUGGAAGAAUGGUGAGGGCAGGGGGAUUUUCCAGACAGCCCCGCCAAACGUGUUUGUCUUGGGUCCACGGCACAGAAAUGACUCCGGAGGAGGUGGAGAGCAGCCUUACUAUGGAGUGUUAUUAUGGGACAGAUUUUGUCAUUUUAGGCAUUGAAGGAGGUAAUGGAAAAAACCUCCUGUGAUUGUGUUCCCUUGCCUCUUCCUCUAGCCUCCUUCCGACCCACAUACUCAUCUCCAACCAGAGCGCUGGAAGCAUCCAAUGGGAGCUUGGUUUGAAAUCUAAACCUAUUCUUUUUUCCCCUCUUCCUAAAGUCUGUGUUCUUCCACCAAAUAUAGAAGAUCCCAUUGGCUUCAGAGACUCAAGGCUGGCGAAUUGCUUCGUUUUAGAAUACUUUUUCUAACUGAUGCUCUAAGAGGGUUUUUUUUGGUUUUUUGUUUUUUUUUUGCUUCUGCUCUAUUGGUUUAAUGCAUUAAUUUGGCACGGAAGAGGUGGAGCCCA
Molecule: long non-coding RNA, 1284 nt
Organism: Cygnus olor (mute swan)
Lineage: Eukaryota; Metazoa; Chordata; Aves; Anseriformes; Anatidae
Exons: 3
Source: RefSeq, a predicted model, not a curated record